CGCGUCCAUAGAUACAGAACAAAAAGACUGAACGACUGGGUCGCGUCUUUAACAAUCGAAUCGAUAGAACAAACGACCAGCCGGCUUGGGUAGCUACCCUAGAUUUGUGUUGGGACUAUAUCUUAUGGAAGGAUGAAAUAGUAUGAAUAAAUUCAUCAAAAUAACGUUUUUAAUGAAAAUAUGUAAAUCAUUAUUUGAAUAUGUUGGUAACCCAUUGUAUAAAAGUGAUAAUGCCCUCGAAGCCGGUGUUUGGACCUCGAAGCCGGUGUUUGGACUUUGUCUCGGGCCUAACAACACCCGUGCCAAUAUCCUCCAAACACAGGCUUCUCUGGCAUUAUCACUUACAGUAAAUAUACACAUAUGAAGAGUUUAUAUCCAAAACGCUAUAUUACUACAUUUUUCCCAUUUGUGUUUUUUCGUCAGAAAUGGUUGCUUAUGGGUUAUGGGUGUGUAAAAUAUGACUAUCCUCUGAUUUUUUAUUAAUAGAUUCUGGAUGUGUAAGAUUUUUUUGGUUUGUUGCAAACACCAAGUAUCCAUUGUUUAGCUGGAAUGGAAUGUUGGUACUCUGUAUAUUUGACUGUGAUAUGUGGUUCUCACCUAGCUAUCUUAAGAUGAAUGCACUUACUGUAAGUCACUCUGGGUUGACCCUUGUAUUUAUCUCUAUGUACACUCACAAGACUCUACACACUCACGCACACUGAUACUCCAACACACGCACACAAACACACACAUACACUUAAUUUGCAUCCACACACAUAACAUGCACAAACAUUUAUACUGACAGUGGUGGGAAAAGUUUUUGGCUUUUUUCAGUGUUUCCUCUGACACAUUGGUGAGGCUGUCUUCUGGGUUAAGCGGGCAUUGUGUCAAGAAGCAGUGCAGCUUGGCUUGGUUGUAUUUCGGAGGAUGACUUCCCUUCAUCUUCCACCAGCUAGCUGCUACCUAUGGCCCGGCUAGCUGUCUGAAUCUCAUGGGACCCUAUGAUCACUCGGCUAAGAAUGCCUCUCCUUAAUGUCAAUAUGCCUUGUCCAUUACUGUUCUGGUUAGUGUUUAUUGGCUUAUUUCACUGUAGAGCCUCUAGCCCUGCUCAUUAUACCUUAUCCAAACUUUCAGAUCCACCACCCACACAUGCUAUGACAUCUUCAGGUUUCAAUGAUGUUUCUAGAAACAAUAUCUCUCUCAUCAUGACUAAAUGCCUAGGUUUACCUCCACUGUAUUCACAUCCUACCAUAACUUUGUCUGUACAUUAUACCUUGAGGCUAUUUUAUCGCCCCCAGAAACCUGCUCCUUUUACUCUCUAUUCUGGACAUCAUAGACCGCCAAUUCUCGUAGCUUUUAGCCGUACCCUUAUCCUAGUCCUCCUCUGUUCCUCUGGUGAUGUCGAGGUGAAUCCAGGCCCUGCAGUGCCUAGCUCCACUCCUAUUCCCCAGGCGCUCUCUUUUGAUGACUUCUGUAACCGUAAUAGCCUUGGAUUCAUGCAUGUUAACAUUAGAAGCCUUCUCCCUAAGUUUGUUUUAUUCACUGCUUUAGCACACUCUGCCAACCCGGAUGUCCUAGCCGUGUCUGAAUCCUGGCUUAGGAAGUCCACCAAAAACUCUGAAAUCUUCAUCCCUAACUACAACAUUUUCAGACAAGAUAGAACGUCCAAAGGCAGCGGUGUUGCAAUCUACUGCAGAGAUAGCCUGCAGAGUUCUGUCCUACUAUCCAGGUCUGUACCCUAACAAUUUGAACUUCUACUUUUAAAAAUCCAUCUCUCUAAAAACAAGUCUCUCACUGUUGCCGCCUGCUAUAGACCACCCUCUGCCCCCAGCUGUGCUCUGGACACCAUAUGUGAACUGAUUGCCCCCCAUCUAUCUUCAGAGCUCGUGCUGCUAGGUGACGUAAACUGGGACAUGCUUAACACCCCAGCCAUCCUACAAUCUAAGCUUGAUGCCCUCAAUCUCACACAAAUUAUCAAUAAACCUACCAGGUACCACCCCAAAGCCGUAAACACGGGCACCCUCAUAGAUAUCAUCCUAACCAACUUGCCCUCUAAAUACACCUCUGCUGUUUUCAACCAAGAUCUCAGCGAUCACUGCAUCCGUAAUGGGUCAGCGGUCAAAUGACCUCCACUCAUCACUGUCAAACACUCCCUGAAACAUUUCAGCAAGCAAGCCUUUCUAAUCGACCUGCCCCGGGUAUCCUGGAAGGAUAUUGACCUCAUCCCGUCAGUAGAGGAUGCCUGGUUAUUUUUUUUAAAUGCCUUCCUCACCAUCUUAAAUAAGCAUGCCCCAUUCAAUAAAUUUAGAACCAGGAACACAUAUAGCCCUUGGUUCUCUCCAGACCUGACUGCCAUUAACCAACACAAAAACAUCCUGUGGCGUUCAGCAUUAGCAUCGAACAGCCCCCGUGAUAUGCAACUUUUCAAGGAAGUUAGAAACCAAUAUACACAGGCAGUUAGAAAAGCCAAGGCUAGCUUUUUCAAGCAGAAAUUUGCUUCCUGCAACACAAACUCAAAAAAGUUCUGGGACACUGUAAAGUACAUGGAGAAUAAGAGCAGCUCCUCCCAGCUGCCCACUGCACUGAGGAUAGAAAACUCUGUCACCUCCGAUAAAUCCACUAGAAUUGAGAAUUUCAAUAAGCAUUUUUCUACGGCUGGCUAUGCUUUCCAUCUGGCUACCGCUACCGCGAUCAACAGCACUGCACCCCCCACAGCUACUCGCCCAAGCCUUCCCCAUUUCUCCUUCUCCCAAAUCCAGUCAGCUGAUGUUCUGAAAGAGCUGCAAAAUCUGGACCCCUACAAAUCAGCCGGGCGAGACAAUCUGGACCCUUUCUUUCUAAAAUUAUCUGCCGAAAUUGUUGCAACCCCUAUUACUAGCCUGUUCAACCUCUCUUUCGUGUCGUCUGAGAUUUCAUAAGAUUGGAAAGCAGCUGCUGUCAUCCCCCUCUUCAAAGGAGGGGACAGUCUUGACCCAAACUGCUACAGACCUAUAUCUAUCAUACCCUGCCUGUCACGUCCUGACCAAUAUUUAGGUAUUAUUUCUAUUAUAUUUGGUCAGGACGUGGCAGAGGUAUAUUUGUUUUGUAUUAUGGGGUUUUGUGUGUGGUGUAGUGGGGUGGGGUUUGGUAUAGGACGUGGCAGAGGUAUAUUUGUUUUGUAUUAUGGGGUUUUGUGUGUGGUGUAGUGGGGUGUAUUAGUUUGGUAUAGGUUCUAGGUUUGUUUUUCUAUGUGUAGUUUUGGGUGCUGGACUCUCAAUUGGAGGCAGGUGUUUCUAGUUGUCUCUGAUUGGGAGUCCCAUAAGUAGGUGUGUGUUUGUUUGGUUUUCGUGGGUAGUUGUUUUUGCACUGCGUGUUGUGUGCCUGCAAAACUGUUCCUGUCGUGUAUAUUGUUUUCCAGUGGAUGCGUUACUCCUUUUUUGAAUUAAAACAUGAGCAUCCAUAUUCCCGCUGCAGUUUGGUCUAUUCAACACGGCUCUUUUUGUGACACUGCCUUUCUAAGGUCUUCUAAUGCCAAGUCAACAAACAGAUUACCGACCAUUUAGAAUCCCACCGCACCUUCUCCGCUAUGCAAUCUGGUUUCAGAACUGGUCGUGGGUGCACCUCAGCCACGCUCAAGGUCCUAAAUGAUAUCGUAACCGCCAUCGAUAAGAAACAAUACUGUGCUGCCGUAUUCAUUAACCUGGCCAAGGCUUUCGACUCUGUCAAUCACCACAUCCUCAUUGGCAGACUCAAUAGCCUUGGUUUCUCAAAUGAUUGCCUCGCCUGGUUCACCAAUUACUUAUCUGACAGAGUUCAAUGUGUCAAAUCGGAUGGCCUGUUGUCCGGGCCUCUGGUAGUCUCUAUGGGGGUGCCACAGGGUUCAAUUCUUGGGCCAACUCUUUUCUCUGUAUACAUCAAUGAUGUCGCUCUUGCUGCUGGUGAGUCUCUGAUCCACCUCUACGCAGACGACACCAUUCUGUAUACUUCUGGCCCUUCUU
This 3956-nucleotide long non-coding RNA is filed under the name Salmo salar (Atlantic salmon). RNAcentral's name for it is "lncRNA (ENSSSAG00000098253.1)". Lineage: Eukaryota; Metazoa; Chordata; Actinopteri; Salmoniformes; Salmonidae. The record is from RNAcentral.